GCGAGUAUAACUUAAACGGUUAAAGUGUCAGACUGUGACUCUGGAAAUAUGGGUUCAAUUCCCGUUAUUCGCC
RNAcentral lists this transfer RNA (73 nucleotides) under Medakamo hakoo. RNAcentral's name for it is "trnH-GUG". It matches the Rfam family "tRNA". From Rfam's summary of the family: Transfer RNA (tRNA) molecules are approximately 80 nucleotides in length. Their secondary structure includes four short double-helical elements and three loops (D, anti-codon, and T loops). The record is from RNAcentral. Lineage: Eukaryota; Viridiplantae; Chlorophyta; Trebouxiophyceae; Coccomyxaceae.